Molecule: non-coding RNA, 26 nt
Filed under: Cricetulus griseus (Chinese hamster)
Lineage: Eukaryota; Metazoa; Chordata; Mammalia; Rodentia; Cricetidae
Source: RNAcentral
GUCACUAACUGUUCUUCGUCUAGGGU